GGGCACUUGGCGCAGCUGGUAGCGCGCUCGCUUCGCACUUCGUUUCGUCACUGUGUUAUGCGAGAGGUCGUGGGUUCAAAUCCCACAGUGUCCA
RNAcentral lists this transfer RNA (94 nucleotides) under Pleurotus eryngii. It matches the Rfam family "tRNA". Rfam says of the family: Transfer RNA (tRNA) molecules are approximately 80 nucleotides in length. Their secondary structure includes four short double-helical elements and three loops (D, anti-codon, and T loops). Lineage: Eukaryota; Fungi; Basidiomycota; Agaricomycetes; Agaricales; Pleurotaceae. The record is from Rfam by way of RNAcentral.